AGAACUAACGCUGGCGGCGUGGCUUAGGCGUGCAAGUCGAACGGCAAAGGUCGCAAGACCGAGUAAGUGGCGAAAGGGUGAGUAGUACUCGGGCAAUCUGCCCCUGGGACUGGGAUAGCCUCGGGAAACUGAGAGUAAUACCAGACGGGCUCACGAGAGCUGAGGCUCAUGUGAGUAAACGGAGGGGCUCCGCAAGGACCUUCCGCCCAGUGAGGAGCUCGAGCCCUAUCAGGUAGCUGGCGGGUAACGGCCCACCAAGCCUACGACGGGUAUCCGGACUGAGAGGUUGGCCGGACACACUGGCACUGAGACACUGGCCAGACUCCUACGGGAGGCUGCAGUCGAGAAUUUCCGCAAUGGGGGCAACCUGACGGAGCGACGCCGCGUGAAGGAAGAAGGCCUUCGGGUGUAAACUUCUGUCACGACUUACGAAUGCAUCAGACGUAACAAUCUGGUGUGACGAAGGUCGGAAGGAGCCACAGCUAACUCGUGCUAGCAGCGA
RNAcentral lists this ribosomal RNA (502 nucleotides) under uncultured soil bacterium. RNAcentral's name for it is "bacterial SSU rRNA". It matches the Rfam family "Bacterial small subunit ribosomal RNA", at positions 26 to 517 of the family's 1533-position model. The record is from RNAcentral.